AAGCCCGAAAAACCGUAAACCAAACAACCGAAACGAAUGAAGCAAACCAAAAAGAAAGAAAGAAAAAAAACGGA
Molecule: non-coding RNA, 74 nt
Filed under: Lotharella globosa
Lineage: Eukaryota; Cercozoa; Chlorarachniophyceae
Source: RNAcentral